Molecule: ribosomal RNA, 604 nt
Filed under: Lodderomyces parapsilosis
Lineage: Eukaryota; Fungi; Ascomycota; Pichiomycetes; Serinales; Debaryomycetaceae
Description: LSU rRNA
Rfam family: Eukaryotic large subunit ribosomal RNA
Source: RNAcentral
GCAUAUCAAUAAGCGGAGGAAAAGAAACCAACAGGGAUUGCCUUAGUAGCGGCGAGUGAAGCGGCAAAAGCUCAAAUUUGAAAUCUGGCACUUUCAGUGUCCGAGUUGUAAUUUGAAGAAGGUAUCUUUGGGUCUGGCUCUUGUCUAUGUUUCUUGGAACAGAACGUCACAGAGGGUGAGAAUCCCGUGCGAUGAGAUGUCCCAGACCUAUGUAAAGUUCCUUCGAAGAGUCGAGUUGUUUGGGAAUGCAGCUCUAAGUGGGUGGUAAAUUCCAUCUAAAGCUAAAUAUUGGCGAGAGACCGAUAGCGAACAAGUACAGUGAUGGAAAGAUGAAAAGAACUUUGAAAAGAGAGUGAAAAAGUACGUGAAAUUGUUGAAAGGGAAGGGCUUGAGAUCAGACUUGGUAUUUUGUAUGUUACUCUCUCGGGGGUGGCCUCUACCAGUUUACCGGGCCAGCAUCAGUUUGAGCGGUAGGAUAAGUGCACAGAAAUGUGGCACUGCUUCGGUAGUGUGUUAUAGUCUUUGUCGAUACUGCCAGCUUAGACUGAGGACUGCGGCUUCGGCCUAGGAUGUUGGCAUAAUGAUCUUAAGUCGCCCGUCUUGA